Molecule: transfer RNA, 74 nt
Filed under: Candidatus Dojkabacteria bacterium
Lineage: Bacteria
Description: tRNA-Arg
Rfam family: tRNA
About the family: Transfer RNA (tRNA) molecules are approximately 80 nucleotides in length. Their secondary structure includes four short double-helical elements and three loops (D, anti-codon, and T loops). Further hydrogen bonds mediate the characteristic L-shaped molecular structure. tRNAs have two regions of fundamental functional importance: the anti-codon, which is responsible for specific mRNA codon recognition, and the 3' end, to which the tRNAs corresponding amino acid is attached (by aminoacyl-tRNA synthetases). tRNAs cope with the degeneracy of the genetic code in two manners: having more than one tRNA (with a specific anti-codon) for a particular amino acid; and 'wobble' base-pairing, i.e. permitting non-standard base-pairing at the 3rd anti-codon position.
Source: RNAcentral
GCACUCGUAGCUCAAUUGGAUAGAGCAACGCACUCCUAACGCGUAGGUUGUAGGUUCAAUUCCUGCCGAGUGCG